RNAcentral lists this ribosomal RNA (346 nucleotides) under uncultured bacterium. RNAcentral describes it as "partial 16S ribosomal RNA". It matches the Rfam family "Bacterial small subunit ribosomal RNA", at positions 338 to 681 of the family's 1533-position model. The record is from RNAcentral.
CCUACGGGCGGCAGCAGUGAGGAAUAUUGGUCAAUGGACGCAAGUCUGAACCAGCCAUGCCGCGUGCAGGAAGACGGCUCUAUGAGGUGGAAAAUGCGGUUGUACGAGGGGAAAAGCAGAUACGCGGAUCUGUCUGAAAGUAUCGUACGAAUAAGGAUCGGCUAACUCCGUGCCAGCAGCCGCGGUAAUACGGAGGAUUCAAUCGUUAUCCGGAUUUAUUGGGUUUAAAGGGUGCGUAGGCGGUCGGAUAAGUUAGAGGUGAAGUCCCGAGGCGCAACUUCGGAAUUGCCUCUGUUACUGUUCGGCUAGAGCGUAGUUUCGUUAGGCGGAAUGUCUUGUGUAGCGG